UAGAAAACCAAAACCUAUGAAUCACAUCCAAAACUAAGUGAAAGAUUUGAACCCGGUAGGGAGUAUUGCUACUGCAAGCAUUUGCUGAAAGGACAGAGAAUCUGAAAACUCGAAAGCUCUGGGUGAAGAGUUGGACUGGAGCGAGGAGAGUGGUCGCCGGCACAAUGAAGUAUUUUGAGUUUGAUGUUUUCUGACCCUCUGAAGCUAAACUAUAGCCCAUUUCAUUUUCAAACAGCCUCCCGGGAGCCCUGGGAUGACCUCAGUCAGGAUGUUCUCAAACAUAAUCUAGCCUGCGCAGUAACCUGACAAGAAUUGGUUUAUUUAAGGAACGCGGUGGGUCUUUUAGCCUCUAAAGGAACCCAUAGGUCAUUUGUAAAGGAACCAGCAUGACCUGUUGGAACUUCUCUUGGCACUGAUGCUCAGCCGUUUCAGGUUAGAACUUUGUUGCUUUGAGCUGGAAGCUCCACUGAAACUUGUGUAAUGGAGACCACAUAAAAUGUAGUUUCCCUUAAGAUUUUAGGAUGAGCAGACAAGGACUUUAAAACAGCUCUAAUUAAUUCAAGAAAGUAGAGGGAAGUGUGGAGAAUUUCACCAGAGAACUGGGAUCUUUUAAAAAAUAGUCAAAUGGGGAUUCUAAAAAUGAAACAAAAAUGCAGCAUGAGAAAUUAAGAACUCAGUAGAUGGAUUUAACAGCAGAAUGGAUGCAGCAGAAGACAAGAUGAGUAAAUGCAACUAUGGGUCAAUUGAAAAUAUUCCUAGAGUGAAAUAAACAAACAGCAAAAUAUCAUUUAAUGGAAUACCUUGCAUCAAGACCAAAAAUACAAACUACUGAUAUACGCAAUAAAUGGAAUGACUCAAGAAGAAUUGCGUAAACAAAUGAAGCAAAACACACAAAAAGUAUAUACUCUGUGAUUCCAUUUCUAUGAAAGUCAAGAACAGGUAUAACUUAUCUAUGAAUGACAGGCGUCAAAAUGGCGGCUACUUCUGAGGAGUGGUAUUGGACAGGUGUGAGGCAACAUUCUGGGGCGAUCGAAAUGUUCUGUACCUUGGUCACCUGAUCUGCGUGGUGAUUACACAGGUGUUCCAUUUGUAAAAUUUCAUUGAGCUGUACACUUAAGGUUUGUGUACUUUACUGUGUAUAAGAAAUAGCUCAAUUUAAAAAAUACCAGAGAAGAUAUUUCUUCCCCAUGUGUUUCCUCUUGUUUACUCUUUCUCAUCUUUUCACGCUGGAAGGAAGGCCCCUUCGUGUCCUCAGCUAUUUUUACGGACGCUGGAAAGUCUGUCAAGGAGGAAGGGGCCUGAAGGCCUUCAGGAAGCUGAAGACUGCAUACCAUGAGUCACUGCGCUUGGAGGUGAGGAAAGUCAAGUCUCCUUCGGCGAGUAUCUACCCUGGGGUCCGGAGGAAGCCAGUCGAGACCUCGGCUUCCUGUGAGGAGGCAUGUGGAACAGAAGAUAAAAAAAAAAGAGGUUCUGGGGACAGCUCAUGUCAGGAGGGUGAGUGAGAUGGCUUUGAGCCCUUUAAAGCCAGUUCUACUGACCUUCAGGUACAAUUGUUGUUCUCAACCUGGGGUGGUGGUGGCAUCUUGGUCCCCUGGGGAGAUUUGGCAAUAUCUAGAGACGUUUUUGUUUGUCAACUUGGGGAUGGGGGAUGGUGCUACUGGCAUGGAACGAGUAGAGGCCAAGGAUGCUGCUGGUCAUCCUACAAUGCAUGGGACAGCCCCCACAGCAAAGAAUGAUCCGAUCCCAACUGCCAAUAGUGCCAAGACUGAGAAGCCCUGGUGUAUACUCUUCUUAAGGUAUUUAUUAAUCUAUCAGAGUUUUUUUACGACUGCAGGUAGAAAUAGUAUUUUCAUUUCUAAAAGCCCUAUUUCAAAGUGGGUGAAUAGUGCACGUUUUCAAGGUUUGUGAACAACUUAAAAAAAAAGAGCUUAUUCUCAAUAGGCAAAAAAUCACCUACAAACAGCACCAUAAAUUUGCUUCUGAUCCUUCAUGCAUAGGUUUUUAUCUAGUUGUGAUCCACAUAUUAUUUUCUGCUGUAAACCCAAGGAAUUGAUGAAAUCUAAGGGUUAGUGUGUGUGUGUGCAUGUGCUUGCAUACACAUUUGUCUUGCUUGCUGGGGGGGGGCAGCAAAUGUGUCUUUAAAAGCAAAUGCACAUCUUUUGUGGCUCAGUUUUACUCCAUUUCAGAUCAAGUUCAAUGUCCCAGGGCAGUAGAAGAGUGAUUGCAGCUCUGACACAAGGCCCCAACCAGGAGCUCGUUUAAAUUGAAGCACACUCAUCAAAAUAAUUCUUAAUGCUCUUAUUUCAUUAAAAAAUCCCUUCCCCUGCCCAAAAGCAGUGUAUGUGCAUUUUAGAUAAUUAUAAAAUAUAGAUAAGCAAAAAUGUGAAAAAAAAUUUCCACCACCCCAAAAUUGCCAUUAACGCCAAAGUCCUGUCCUUCCCUUUAUAUAUCCAAAGUGAGAUCAUCUCCUACAUGUUUUGUGCCCUGCUCUUUUGUGGUUAAUGAUCUCUACCUUCACAUGUCAGUACCUUUCCAUCUCCUCUAAUAUUCAGUCUCUAUUCAGAUUUCCCCAUGGGGCCCCCGGUACAGAAAAGCUGUAUAAACCAAGAUCCAAUCGCAGUGCAUACUUUGUGUCUAGUAGUAAGGUCCUAUAAGGUUCUUCUAAUCGAGCCCAGCCCCUUUUUCUCACCACAUGGACUUGCUGAAGACACUAGGCCAGUUAGAUACAAAACGUCCCAAAUUCGGGAUGGUGCUUCUUGAGGGUGUCGCUUAUCUUGUUCCUUUAUCCCUUGUACUUCCCGUACCUGGAAAUUAGAUCUAAACAUUUGACGUCUUCUGGUUAAGCAUUUCUGGUUAGUAUGCCUCAUGGGUGAUGCUGGGUAUUCUGUAUGGCAUCUGUCAUAAGAUAAGUGAUAUUUGGUUGACCUGCCUAGUGAUGGGCUGACAUUGACCACUCAGUUAAGGUGACAACUGUCUGAUGGCUCCAUGUACAUUCCACGUCGUCCCCUGCUACUAGGAAGUAAUCUGUGGAUUGCUAUUUUGGCAAUAUGAAUUUCCAAUCCCCAUAAAGCAUUUACCUAAAGUUUUUUUUGGAUUUUCAUUUAUAAAUAGCUUUACUGAAAUAUAAUUGUCAUACAAUAAAUUUCACAUAUUUAAAAUGUAUAGUUUGAUAUGUUUUGACAUCCAUCUAUCUCUAUGAGACUAUUACCACCAUCAUGAUAACAAAUGUAUUAUCAUCCCUAAAAGUUUUCUCAUGUCCCUUUGUAAAUUCUCCCUCCUCCCUCCCUACAUUCUAGCUGCUCCACUCCAUCCCCAAGCAA
Equus caballus (horse) is the source of this 3320-nucleotide non-coding RNA. The record is from RefSeq and is a predicted model, not a curated record. Lineage: Eukaryota; Metazoa; Chordata; Mammalia; Perissodactyla; Equidae.